Molecule: ribosomal RNA, 429 nt
Filed under: uncultured bacterium
Lineage: Bacteria
Description: partial 16S ribosomal RNA
Rfam family: Bacterial small subunit ribosomal RNA
Source: RNAcentral
GUGGGGAAUAUUGCACAAUGGGCGCAAGCCUGAUGCAGCAACGCCGCGUGAGGGAUGACGGCCUUCGGGUUGUAAACCUCUUUUAGUAGGGAAGAAGCGUAAGUGACGGUACCUGCAGAAAAAGCACCGGCUAACUACGUGCCAGCAGCCGCGGUAAUACGUAGGGUGCAAGCGUUGUCCGGAAUUAUUGGGCGUAAAGAGCUCGUAGGCGGCUUGUCGCGUCUGCUGUGAAAACCCGAGGCUCAACCUCGGGCUUGCAGUGGGUACGGGCAGGCUAGAGUGCGGUAGGGGAGAUUGGAAUUCCUGGUGUAGCGGUGGAAUGCGCAGAUAUCAGGAGGAACACCGAUGGCGAAGGCAGAUCUCUGGGCCGUAACUGACGCUGAGGAGCGAAAGCAUGGGGAGCGAACAGGAUUAGAUACCCGGUAGUCC